UGACAGUUGGUUCCCAGUACAUGGAAACUUAAGCAUACCAUAAUCUGAAAUCAUUUGGUUAAAUGAAAGAAAUGAUAUAUUAGAUCGUCGUUUUCCUCCUUCUUUCUCAUGGUGUCCCGUUAUUUCAUUAAAAUCUCCUAUCAUGAACCAAAGUCUAUCUCUAGUUGCGGCAAAAAACGCGUAAGACGUUCCCAAACUUGAUCUCUCUUUUCU
RNAcentral lists this long non-coding RNA (213 nucleotides) under Brassica napus (rape). RNAcentral describes it as "long non-coding RNA (BNAP_LNC017640)". Lineage: Eukaryota; Viridiplantae; Streptophyta; Magnoliopsida; Brassicales; Brassicaceae. The record is from RNAcentral.